Molecule: ribosomal RNA, 893 nt
Filed under: Sulcospira infracostata
Lineage: Eukaryota; Metazoa; Mollusca; Gastropoda; Pachychilidae
Description: partial 16S ribosomal RNA
Rfam family: Archaeal large subunit ribosomal RNA (bases 314-893)
Source: RNAcentral
AAGCAUAGAAGUGCUGAAAUAAAAUAGAUUAGUAAGAGUUAUGUUUUAAUAAUUUGUUUUAUAUUUUAGCUUAUUAAGGAUAAGCUUAAUAAGAAAUAUAGGAAAAAAUAUAGUCUGAGUGAAUUAUUUAGGCCUGAGAUUAGCCACUAUAGUGAAACUUGUUACAAAAUAAUUCUUUUAAUAAGAAAAAUCUUUAUAUUUUUCAUUCUUAUCUGUAAUAAGGGUAUCAAGUAAAAUUAAUAGAUUUAGUUUGCUUAUGCUAAGAUGAGUAUUUGUAAAUUAUAUGUGAACAAGUAUCUAAAAACGUUUAUAAUAAUACAAUUUUUUUAAUUAAAAUAAAAUAGAAAGAAGGAACUCGGCAAAUUCUAGCUUCGCCUGUUUAUCAAAAACAUGGCUCCCUGUUAGCUUAAUAUAGGGAGUCAGACCUGCCCAGUGAAAUUUUUCAACGGCCGCGGUACUCUGACCGUGCAAAGGUAGCAUAAUCAUUUGCCUUAUAAUUGGAGGCUUGUAUGAAUGGUUUGACGGAAGCAUUACUGUCUCCUUUCUACUACAUAGAAUUUGAUUUCUAGGUGAAGAAGCCUAGAUACAAUUGAAAGACAAAAAGACCCUGUCGAGCUUAAAAAUAAGGUGGGAAUCGUUAUAAUUAACCUAAAUUUAUUACCAAUUGCUUUUUUUGGUUGGGGCGACCUGGGAACAGCAAAAGCUUCCCCUUUUACUUUAACCUAUGAGUAAUGAUCCAGCCCAAAGCUGAUUAAAAGAAUUAGUUACCGCAGGGAUAACAGCAUAAUCUCUCUUGAGAGACCAAAUCGAAAGAAGAGGGUUGUGACCUCGAUGUUGGACUAGAAUAUCCUAAAGAUGCAGAAGUCUUUGAAGGUUGGUCUGUCGACCAUAAA